AUUGAACGCUGGCGGCAUGCUUUACACAUGCAAGUCGAACGGCAGCGCGGGGCAACCUGGCGGCGAGUGGCGAACGGGUGAGUAAUAUAUCGGAACGUACCCAGAAGUGGGGGAUAACGUAGCGAAAGUUACGCUAAUACCGCAUACGAUCUACGGAUGAAAGUGGGGGACCUUCGGGCCUCAUGCUUGUGGAGCGGCCGAUAUCUGAUUAGCUAGUUGGUAGGGUAAAGGCUUACCAAGGCGACGAUCAGUAGCUGGUCUGAGAGGACGACCAGCCAGACUGGGACUGAGACACGGCCCAGACUCCUACGGGAGGCAGCAGUGGGGAAUUUUGGACAAUGGGCGCAAGCCUGAUCCAGCAAUGCCGCGUGAGUGAAGAAGGCCUUCGGGUUGUAAAGCUCUUUUGUCAGGGAAGAAACGGUGCGGACUAAUAUUCUGCGCUAAUGACGGUACCUGAAGAAUAAGCACCGGCUAACUACGUGCCAGCCGCCGCAGUAA
Molecule: ribosomal RNA, 498 nt
Filed under: uncultured bacterium
Lineage: Bacteria
Description: partial 16S ribosomal RNA
Rfam family: Bacterial small subunit ribosomal RNA
Source: RNAcentral